RNAcentral lists this ribosomal RNA (462 nucleotides) under uncultured Serratia sp. RNAcentral's name for it is "bacterial SSU rRNA". It matches the Rfam family "Bacterial small subunit ribosomal RNA", at positions 37 to 484 of the family's 1533-position model. The record is from RNAcentral. Lineage: Bacteria; Pseudomonadati; Pseudomonadota; Gammaproteobacteria; Enterobacterales; Yersiniaceae.
AGAAAGUGCCGGCAGACUAACACAUGCAGUCGAGCGGUAGCACAAGAGAGCUUGCUCUCUGGGUGACGAGCGGCGGACGGGUGAGUAAUGUCUGGGAAACUGCCUGAUGGCGGGGGAUAACUAGUGGAAACGGUAGCUAAUACCGCAUAACGUCGCAAGACCAAAGUGGGGGACCUUCGGGCCUCACGCCAUCAGAUGUGCCCAGGUGGGAUUAGCUGGUAGGUGGGGUAACGGCUCACCUAGGCGACGAUCCCUAGCUGGUCUGAGAGGAUGACCAGCCACACUGGAACUGAGACACGGUCCAGACUCCUACGGGAGGCAGCAGUGGGGAAUAUUGCACAAUGGGCGCAAGCCUGAUGCAGCCAUGCCGCGUGUGUGAAGAAGGCCUUCGGGUUGUAAAGCACUUUCAGCGAGGAGGAAGGGUAAUGUGUUAAUAAGACAUUGCAACAACCUUUUUUUUUU